Molecule: ribosomal RNA, 447 nt
Filed under: uncultured bacterium
Lineage: Bacteria
Description: bacterial SSU rRNA
Rfam family: Bacterial small subunit ribosomal RNA
Source: RNAcentral
UACCAGACUCCUACGGGAGGCAGCAGUGGGGAAUAUUGCACAAUGGGGGAAACCCUGAUGCAGCGGCGCCGCGUGAAGGAAGAAGUAUUUCGGUAUGUAAACUUCUAUCAGCAGGGAAGAAAAUGACGGUACCUGACUAAGAAGCCCCGGCUAACUACGUGCCAGCAGCCGCGGUAAUACGUAGGGGGCAAGCGUUAUCCGGAUUUACUGGGUGUAAAGGGAGCGUAGACGGCGAUGCAAGCCAGAUGUGAAAGCCCGGGGCUCAACCCCGGGACUGCAUUGGGAACUGGCGUGCUGGAGUGCCGGAGGGGCAGGCGGAAUUCCUGGUGUAGCGGUGAAAUGCGUAGAUAUCAGGAGGAACACCGGUGGCGAAGGCGGCCUGCUGGACGGAUACUGACGCUGAGGCCCGAAAGCGUGGGGAGCGAACAGGAUUAGAUACCCCGGUAU